UACGUAGGUGGCAAGCGUUAUCCGGAUUUAUUGGGCGUAAAGGGAACGCAGGCGGUCUUUUAAGUCUGAUGUGAAAGCCUUCGGCUCAACCGGAGUAGUGCAUUGGAAACUGGGAGACUUGAGUGCAGAAGAGGAGAGUGGAACUCCAUGUGUAGCGGUGAAAUGCGUAGAUAUAUGGAAGAACACCAGUGGCGAAAGCGGCUCUCUGGUCUGUAACUGACGCUGAGGUUCGAAAGCGUGGGUAGCAAACAGG
Molecule: ribosomal RNA, 253 nt
Filed under: uncultured bacterium
Lineage: Bacteria
Description: partial 16S ribosomal RNA
Rfam family: Bacterial small subunit ribosomal RNA
Source: RNAcentral